GAUGAACGCUGACAGAAUGCUUAACACAUGCAAGUCAACUUGAAUUUGGGUUUUUAACUUAGAUUUGGGUGGCGGACGGGUGAGUAACGCGUAAAGAACUUGCCUCACAGCUAGGGACAACAUUUAGAAAUGAAUGCUAAUACCUAAUAUUAUGAUAAUAGGGCAUCCUAUAAUUAUGAAAGCUAUAUGCGCUGUGAGAGAGCUUUGCGUCCCAUUAGCUAGUUGGAGAGGUAACGGCUCACCAAGGCGAUGAUGGGUAGCCGGCCUGAGAGGGUGAUCGGCCACAAGGGGACUGAGACACGGCCCUUACUCCUACGGGAGGCAGCAGUGGGGAAUAUUGGACAAUGGACCAAGAGUCUGAUCCAGCAAUUCUGUGUGCACGAUGAAGUUUUUCGGAAUGUAAAGUGCUUUCAGUUGGGAAGAAAGAAAUGACGGUACCAACAGAAGAAGUGACGGCUAAAUACGUGCCAGCAGCCGCGGUAAUACGUAUGUCACGAGCGUUAUCCGGAUUUAUUGGGCGUAAAGCGCGUCUAGGUGGUUAUAUAAGUCUGAUGUGAAAAUGCAGGGCUCAACUCUGUAUUGCGUUGGAAACUGUAUAACUAGAGUACUGGAGAGGUAAGCGGAACUACAAGUGUAGAGGUGAAAUUCGUAGAUAUUUGUAGGAAUGCCGAUGGGGAAGCCAGCUUACUGGACAGAUACUGACGCUGAAGCGCGAAAGCGUGGGUAGCAAACAGG
Molecule: ribosomal RNA, 735 nt
Filed under: uncultured Fusobacterium sp.
Lineage: Bacteria; Fusobacteriati; Fusobacteriota; Fusobacteriia; Fusobacteriales; Fusobacteriaceae
Description: bacterial SSU rRNA
Rfam family: Bacterial small subunit ribosomal RNA
Source: RNAcentral